This 328-nucleotide long non-coding RNA is filed under the name Elaeis guineensis (African oil palm). Its description in RNAcentral is "long non-coding RNA (EGUI_LNC060788)". The record is from RNAcentral. Lineage: Eukaryota; Viridiplantae; Streptophyta; Magnoliopsida; Arecales; Arecaceae.
GGUGGGGUGUUACAGAGAAGAUGUAGAAAACUUUGAUUUUCAUAAAGUUAACCAACUGUCAACUGAAUUAAGACUUCUUCACAGCAUCAUUAGCAGGAUUAUUUUCCUUAAGAUCGGCAAAUUUGAUUAGAUUUUCAAGAUGGAACUUGAUGUCAUGCACCAUUUGUUUGAAGGGAGGACUAUGAACUUGCCGUUUAUGAUGUUAGAGCAAAUCAAGUGCUGCCAACAGAUACAAAAUCAAAGCCUGUCUUCUCUAUGGAAUGGUAUUCACUCUAGUCUUUGUGGAUGCACAAAUUGAGUUGGAGGAUGAAGAUUUCAAGACUCUCAC